CCUACGGGAGGCAGCAGUGAGGAAUAUUGGACAAUGGGCGCAAGCCUGAUCCAGCCAUGCCGCGUGCAGGAAGACUGCCCUAUGGGUUGUAAACUGCUUUUAUACAGGAAGAAUAAGCUCUACGUGUAGAGCGAUGACGGUACUGUAAGAAUAAGGACCGGCUAACUCCGUGCCAGCAGCCGCGGUA
Molecule: ribosomal RNA, 187 nt
Filed under: uncultured Gaetbulibacter sp.
Lineage: Bacteria; Pseudomonadati; Bacteroidota; Flavobacteriia; Flavobacteriales; Flavobacteriaceae
Description: partial 16S ribosomal RNA
Rfam family: Bacterial small subunit ribosomal RNA
Source: RNAcentral